This 245-nucleotide ribosomal RNA is filed under the name uncultured bacterium. Its description in RNAcentral is "partial 16S ribosomal RNA". It matches the Rfam family "Bacterial small subunit ribosomal RNA", at positions 524 to 769 of the family's 1533-position model. The record is from RNAcentral.
UACGUAGGGUGCGAGCGUUAAUCGGAAUUACUGGGCGUAAAGCGUGCGCAGGCGGUUUUGUAAGCCAGAUGUGAAAGCCCCGGGCUUAACCUGGGAAUGGCAUUUGGGACUGCAAGGCUUGAGUGCGGCAGAGGAGACUGGAAUUCCUGGUGUAGCAGUGAAAUGCGUAGAUAUCAGGAGGAAUACCGAUGCGAAGGCAGGUCUCUGGGCUGACACUGACGCUCAUGCACGAAAGCGUGGGGAGC